This is a long non-coding RNA of Oncorhynchus tshawytscha (Chinook salmon), 473 nucleotides long. The record is from Ensembl. NCBI's taxonomy places the organism in Eukaryota, Metazoa, Chordata, Actinopteri, Salmoniformes, Salmonidae.
AGGUAGCCUAGUGGUUAGAGUGUAGAGGCGGCAGGUAGCCUAGUGGUUAGAGUGUAGAGGAGGCAGGUAGCCUAGUGGGUAGAGUGUAGAGGUGGCAGGUAGCCUAGUGGUUAGAGUGUAGAGGUGGCAGGUAGUCUAGUGGUUAGAGUGUAGAGGUGGCAGGUAGCCUAGUGGUUAGAGUGUAGAGGCAGGUAGCCUAGUGGUUAGAGUGUAGAGGAGGCAGGUAGCCUAGUGGUUAGAGUGUAGAGGUGGCAGGUAGCCUAGUGGUUAGAGUGUAGAGGUGGCAGGUAGUCUAGUGGUUAGAGUGUAGGGGAGGCAGGUAGCCUAGUGGUUAGAGUGUAGAGGUGGCAGGUAGCCUAGUGGUUAGAGUGUAGAGGUGGCAGGUAGCCUAGUGGUUAGAGUGUAGAGGUGGCAGGUAGUCUAGUGGUUAGAGUGUAGAGGAGGCAGGUAGUCUAGUGGUUAGAGUGUAGAGG